GGAGCCCAGCCCUGGGAUGUUCAGGUGUUUGCAUUUGGUAAUCACAACUGAACACUGAGACUGAACUCACCAUGGAGUUUGCGCUGAGCUGGGUUUUCCUUCUAGCUAUUUUGAAAGGUGUCCAGUGUGAGGUGCAGCUGGUGGAGUCUGGGGGAGGCUUGGUUCAGCCUGGGGGGUCUUUGAGACUCUCCUGUGCAGCCUCUGGAUUCACCUUCAGUAGCUAUGCCAUGGGCUGGGUCCGUCAGGCUCCAGGAAAGGGGCUGGAGUGGGUCUCAACUAUUAGUACUGGUGGUAGCACGUACUACGCAGACUCCGUGAAGGGCCGAUUCACCAUCUCCAGAGACAACGCCAAGAGCAGAUGAACAGCCUGAGAGCUGAGGACACGGCCGUGUAUUACUGUGC
Molecule: non-coding RNA, 402 nt
Organism: Callithrix jacchus (white-tufted-ear marmoset)
Lineage: Eukaryota; Metazoa; Chordata; Mammalia; Primates; Cebidae
Source: the annotation of a RefSeq genome assembly